UAUUUCCUGAAAUGUUCGAUAUCCUGUUAUUUUGAACCUACAUGAUAUAUAAGGGAGUUCUAUAUGAGAAAGUGGAUGUCAUGCCUAGAAUCUUUAUUAUAGGAAGGCUGAAACUUUACUGCGAACACCCACCUAGCUAGAGCUAGGUGUCAAAAUGCAGGGAACGGCAUUUCGGGUAUAUC
This 182-nucleotide non-coding RNA is filed under the name Candidatus Epulonipiscium sp. Its description in RNAcentral is "6S RNA". It matches the Rfam family "6S / SsrS RNA". Rfam says of the family: E. coli 6S RNA was the first non coding RNA to be sequenced, but its function was unknown until recently. It consists of 184 nucleotides that fold into an extended hairpin structure with a large single-stranded internal bulge. Lineage: Bacteria; Bacillati; Bacillota; Clostridia; Lachnospirales; Lachnospiraceae. The record is from RNAcentral.